AGCGAACGCUGGCGGCAGGCCUAACACAUGCAAGUCGAACGAACCUUUCGGGGUUAGUGGCGGACGGGUGAGUAACACGUGGGAACGUGCCUUUAGGUUCGGAAUAACUCAGGGAAACUUGUGCUAAUACCGAAUGUGCCCUUCGGGGGAAAGAUUAAUCGCCUUUGGAGCGGCCCGCGUCUGAUUAGCUAGUUGGUUGAGGUAAUGGCUCACCAAGGCGACGAUCAGUAGCUGGUCUGAGAGGAUGAUCAGCCACGUUGGGACUGAGACACGGCCCAAACUCCUACGGGAGGCAGCAGUGGGGAAUCUUGCGCAAUGGGCGAAAGCCUGACGCAGCCAUGCCGCGUGAAUGAUGAAGGUCUUAGGAUUGUAAAAUUCUUUCACCGGGGACGAUAAUGACGGUACCCGGAGAAGAAGCCCCGGCUAACUUCGUG
This 434-nucleotide ribosomal RNA is filed under the name uncultured bacterium. RNAcentral describes it as "partial 16S ribosomal RNA". It matches the Rfam family "Bacterial small subunit ribosomal RNA", at positions 29 to 507 of the family's 1533-position model. The record is from RNAcentral.